AGUGAACGCUGGCGGUAGGCCUAACACAUGCAAGUCGAACGGCAGCACAGUAAGAGCUUGCUCUUACGGGUGGCGAGUGGCGGACGGGUGAGGAAUACAUCGGAAUCUACUUUUUCGUGGGGGAUAACGUAGGGAAACUUACGCUAAUACCGCAUACGACCUACGGGUGAAAGCAGGAGAUCUUCGGACCUUGCGCGAUUGAAUGAGCCGAUGUCGGAUUGGCUAGUUGGCGGGGUAAAGGCCCACCAAGGCGACGAUCCGUAGCUGGUCUGAGAGGAUGAACAGCCCCACUGGAACUGAGACACGGUCCAGACUCCUACGGGAGGCAGCAGUGGGGAAUAUUGGACAAUGGGCGCAAGCCUGAUCCAGCCAUACCGCGUGGGUGAAGAAGGCCUUCGGGUUGUAAAGCCCUUUUGUUGGGAAAGACAACCAGCAGGUUAAUCCCCCGCUGUUCUGACGGUACCCAAAGAAUAAGCACCGGCUAACUUCGUG
RNAcentral lists this ribosomal RNA (492 nucleotides) under uncultured bacterium. RNAcentral's name for it is "partial 16S ribosomal RNA". It matches the Rfam family "Bacterial small subunit ribosomal RNA", at positions 29 to 507 of the family's 1533-position model. The record is from RNAcentral.